AUAGAGAGAGAAAGAGAAAGGGUUUGAAGGAGAGCGUAGAAGGAGAGCAUUUUCGAUUUGGGGAUCUGAUCCCCAAAUCCAACCAAAUAUAUGUCAAGUAUCCAAACUAUUUCUAUAUUGCGAUUGAAGUUGGUGAACCAAGAAACCGAAUCCGUUUCGAUCGUCUCCGGACGGUGGUGCGGUUCUUCAAACCCAGAAAGAUGGAAGUCUCCUUCUGCUGUUCUUCUCUCUCUC
Molecule: long non-coding RNA, 234 nt
Organism: Cynara cardunculus var. scolymus (artichoke)
Lineage: Eukaryota; Viridiplantae; Streptophyta; Magnoliopsida; Asterales; Asteraceae
Exons: 3
Source: RefSeq, a predicted model, not a curated record